Molecule: long non-coding RNA, 1726 nt
Filed under: Olea europaea (common olive)
Lineage: Eukaryota; Viridiplantae; Streptophyta; Magnoliopsida; Lamiales; Oleaceae
Description: long non-coding RNA (OEUR_LNC012917)
Source: RNAcentral
CACAUUAGGAUACGUACUAAUCCCCGACAUGAUAUAUCAAUGUAAAUCACAAACUCUUCAAACGCAGCUGAAAGAGAAAAUAUUAAUGCACAAAUUCAUCAAUCCUCUAGCUCAUCAAAGCUCUUUUAACAUGCUUCAGUCCCAUGAAAAUUAUUGCAGUAGGAGUACACUAUUCAAAAGAUCCCAAUAAAAAUCCAGCUGAAGAAAUAGUCGAUCAAAUUGACGACCCAAAAAACAUAUCAUUUUAUAAUAUUCAGGAAUGUGACCACCAUGUCCCCUCAUCUCAUGUUUUCUUUAUUCUCUCCAUUUAGAACAUAUUUCAUUGAUCUAAUAUUCUUUUAUCAUAUCGCGAAUUUUUUUUGCUUUUCCUUAUAAUUAGAUUGUCUUCAAUUUUCUACACACUAAAGAGAAAAUUAAAGCCAAUCAAUCAUAUACGUGAUAUAAUCAAUGCUUCAAUUAUUGAUUGUGUCUAUGCAUGUGCCUUAUCCUUCCAUGAUCUAUAAAGUAGUAAAUUUCCCAAGAAUUCUAAAUAUAUACAUCAACUUUUAUUUCUUUAAAAUAAUCAAGACUCCUUAAAUAAUGCUAUCUCAAAAUACCGUAAUCACCCCAUUUGCCAGCUUCUAUUAUAUAAAACAUAUACAAGAGACUUCCUUUGAAAUACCCAUAAAACAAUUUAAUAAUUACACAAUAGUGAUCAUAUAGUCAAUCAAUUCAAAUAUUUACGAAUAAACAAUCUAUAAAAUCAUCAAAACUCUUACUUUGGAUUGGUGAUCUAUGCAAAAUUGUACUCAAAUUAUACAUACACCAUAGUAUUAGUUCAACUACUAAUAAUAUAUCCAACCAUCGGAUCUUUGCAACCGUCAUAUUUACAUUCUAGCCAUUUACGAAUCUACUAAACAUGUUCUUAUAUCGUUGAGGUUCCAUACAUCUUGCAGCAAGAGCUGGGAGCCUGUGAUUUCUACCACUACGACAUGCGACCACACACAUUGAAUAUGCAUGAUAUGCUAAUGCGGGAACUACGAAAAAAAUUCAGAACUCCAUCACCAUGCUCUGAUACCAAUUGACACGAUUCAUCCCGAAUCACCCUAAUACACCCGAACGUGUCAUGCGCCAAUGGUAGAUACCAACUAAGUGCUAGACCUACCAUCAAGGCGAACUUGACCUACUUUGACUAUAACAUAUUUAUAUAAAAAUUGACAGAAUUUCCUUUAAAAUAUGGACUAAAUCACCUAAACAAACAUCAACUUUAUCAAAAUUGUACAUAUAAUUUAAAAUAUAACACGCUAGUCCUUCAAAAUACAAACUAUUCAAGACAUUUAUCAUAUUUUAUAAACAAAAGACCCCAAAAGCAAUGAGAAUACUAAAUAUGCAGUGAAUCCAUGGUAUGGAUCUAUAAAUUACCAAUUAACGUUUCAGUCAAAACAUACAUGUAUCCUAAAAAUUUUGAACUAUAUAAAUUGACGAAAUAAGUCAUACAUUUAAGGACAAUGUGUGUGUGUGUGGCACUCUCGGUGGAUCAAUAGGCUCUAAGGCUGCAUAGCUGCUAUCUGCUAAGAAAAAAAAGUAACAAAAUAUGAGUUUGUAACUCAGUGAGUGGAUAAAUUAAAAAUAAGUAUACUUUUUUAUAUAUGCAUAAUUCUUGUUCUAUUAAACCUUUGAGAAAUUCAGAAAUUUAGUAACACUUUUAAAAUUGACAUAAUUGGAUCAUAAAAUUCUUUAUUCUUCN